UAGCAAUUGCGCUCCCUAGACCACUACCACGUAGUUAGGUAAGGGCAAUAAGUCCGUAGUGACGGGAAUCUAGGAAUGAAUGGGGAUCCCUAUCAAUAGAAAAAGAAUAUCUAAUUAGAGUUUUCUACCUUUAUCUCACUCAAUAGAUCUAUCUGAUCUGAUAAGGCAUAGUACAAUACGAGACGAUGUAAUGCAAUGGGAUAGAUGG
Molecule: long non-coding RNA, 208 nt
Filed under: Solanum melongena (eggplant)
Lineage: Eukaryota; Viridiplantae; Streptophyta; Magnoliopsida; Solanales; Solanaceae
Description: long non-coding RNA (SMEL_LNC000222)
Source: RNAcentral